GUGUGGAUUAGCGGCGGACGGGUGAGUAACACGUGGGUAACCUGCCUCAAAGAGGGGGAUAGCCUCCCGAAGGGGAGAUUAAUACCGCAUAACAUUAGUUUUUCGCAUGAAGAACUAAUUAAAGGAGUAAUCCGCUUUGAGAUGGACCCGCGGCGCAUUAGCUAGUUGGUGAGGUAAAGGCUCACCAAGGCGACGAUGCGUAGCCGACCUGAGAGGGUGAUCGGCCACAUUGGAACUGAGACACGGUCCAGACUCCUACGGGAGGCAGCAGUGGGGAAUAUUGCACAAUGGGCGAAAGCCUGAUGCAGCAACGCCGCGUGAGUGAUGAAGGCCUUCGGGUUGUAAAGCUCUGUCUUUGGGGACGAUAAUGACGGUACCCAAGGAGGAAGCCACGGCUAACUACGUGCCAGCAGCCGCGGUAAUACGUAGGUGGCGAGCGUUGUCCGGAUUUACUGGGCGUAAAGGAUGCGUAGGUGGAUGCUUAAGUCAGAUGUGAAAUACCCGAGCUUAACUUGGGUGCUGCAUUUGAAACUGGACAUCUAGAGUGCACGAGAGGUAAGUGGAAUUCCUAGUGUAGCGGUGAAAUGCGUAGAGAUUAGGAAGAACACCAGUGGCGAAGGCGACUUACUGGACUGUAACUGACACUGAGGCAUGAAAGCGUG
RNAcentral lists this ribosomal RNA (662 nucleotides) under uncultured Bacillota bacterium. Its description in RNAcentral is "bacterial SSU rRNA". It matches the Rfam family "Bacterial small subunit ribosomal RNA", at positions 85 to 763 of the family's 1533-position model. The record is from RNAcentral. Lineage: Bacteria; Bacillati; Bacillota.